GAGGAUACGGUUAACGGAGCGAAAGCGACGUUCAACCGCAAAAGAAGCAGAGGGGGCUUAGUGGUGGGGUGACUGCGUACCUUUUGUAUAAUGGGUCAGCGACUUAUAUUCUGUAGCAAGGUUAACCGAAUAGGGGAGCCGGAGGGAAACCGAGUCUUAACCGGGCGUUAAGUUGCAGGGUAUAGACCCGAAACCCGGUGAUCUAGCCAUGGGCAGGUUGAAGGUUGGGUAACACUAACUGGAGGACCGAACCGACUAAUGUUGAAAAAUUAGCGGAUGACCUGUGGCUGGGGGUGAAAGGCCAAUCAAACCGGGAGAUAGCUGGUUCUCCCCGAAAGCUAUUUAGGUAGCGCCUCGUGAAUUCAUCUCCGGGGGUAGAGCACUGUUUCGGCUAGGGGGCCAUCCCGGCUUACCAACCCGAUGCAAACUGCGAAUACCGGAGAAUGUUAUCACGGGAGACACACGGCGGGUGCUAACGUCCGUCGUGAAGAGGGAAACAACCCAGACCGCCAGCUAAGGUCCCAAAGUCAUGGUUAAGUGGGAAACGAUGUGGGAAGGCCCAGACAGCCAGGAUGUUGGCUUAGAAGCAGCCAUCAUUUAAAGAAAGCGUAAUAGCUCACUGGUCGAGUCGGCCUGCGCGGAAGAUGUAACGGGGCUAAACCAUGCACCGAAGCUGCGGCAGCGAACGUAUCACUUAAAGCGAUUCAGCGGGUUACGAUUGACGGAGCGAAGCGACGUCAAAGCGUAUACAAAGUC
This 756-nucleotide ribosomal RNA is filed under the name Salmonella enterica subsp. enterica serovar Dublin. RNAcentral describes it as "partial 23S ribosomal RNA". It matches the Rfam family "Bacterial large subunit ribosomal RNA", at positions 568 to 1260 of the family's 2925-position model. The record is from RNAcentral. Lineage: Bacteria; Pseudomonadati; Pseudomonadota; Gammaproteobacteria; Enterobacterales; Enterobacteriaceae.